Molecule: transfer RNA, 64 nt
Filed under: Cucujoidea sp. 8 KM-2017
Lineage: Eukaryota; Metazoa; Arthropoda; Insecta; Coleoptera
Description: tRNA-Phe
Source: RNAcentral
AUCUAUAUAGCUUAUACAGAGUAUAAUAUUGAAGAUGUUAGGGAGAUAAAUCUAUCUAUAGAUA